UACGGAGGGUGCAAGCGUUAAUCGGAAUUACUGGGCGUAAAGCGCACGCAGGCGGUUAAUUAAGUUAGAUGUGAAAUCCCCGGGCUUAACCUGGGAAUGGCAUCUAAGACUGGUUAGCUAGAGUCUUGUAGAGGGGGGUAGAAUUCCAUGUGUAGCGGUGAAAUGCGUAGAGAUGUGGAGGAAUACCGGUGGCGAAGGCGGCCCCCUGGACAAAGACUGACGCUCAGGUGCGAAAGCGUGGGGAGCAAACAGG
This 253-nucleotide ribosomal RNA is filed under the name uncultured bacterium. Its description in RNAcentral is "partial 16S ribosomal RNA". It matches the Rfam family "Bacterial small subunit ribosomal RNA", at positions 524 to 776 of the family's 1533-position model. The record is from RNAcentral.